CCUACGGGUGGCUGCAGUGGGGAAUAUUGGACAAUGGGGGCAACCCUGAUCCAGCCAUGCCGCGUGUGUGAAGAAGGCCCUCGGGUUGUAAAGCACUUUCAGUGAGGAAGAACGCCUGGUGGUUAAUACCCAUCAGGAAAGACAUCACUCACAGAAGAAGCACCGGCUAACUCCGUGCCAGCAGCCGCGGUAAUACGGAGGGUGCGAGCGUUAAUCGGAAUUACUGGGCGUAAAGCGCGCGUAGGUGGCUUGAUAAGCCGGUUGUGAAAGCCUCGGGCUCAACCUGGGAACGGCAUCCGGAACUGUCAAGCUAGAGUGCAGGAGAGGAAGGUAGAAUUCCCGGUGUAGCGGUGAAAUGCGUAGAGAUCGGGAGGAAUACCAGUGGCGAAGGCGGCCUUCUGGACUGACACUGACACUGAGGUGCGAAAGCGUGGGUAGCAAACAGGAUUAGAUACCCGUGUAGUC
RNAcentral lists this ribosomal RNA (465 nucleotides) under Vreelandella stevensii. RNAcentral's name for it is "partial 16S ribosomal RNA". It matches the Rfam family "Bacterial small subunit ribosomal RNA", at positions 338 to 795 of the family's 1533-position model. The record is from RNAcentral. Lineage: Bacteria; Pseudomonadati; Pseudomonadota; Gammaproteobacteria; Oceanospirillales; Halomonadaceae.